AGGAAUGAGGUACCAGCUUCGAAAAUACAAGGUUUAACAUCUCUCUCUCAGUCGAUAACACAAACGCAACAGAGCGCAGCUCAGGCGAAAACACACGAACCCAGAAUCCACCGCACACUCGUCACUCUCUUCCGGUGAGUUCUUCUUCUUUCCCGAAUUCCAAUGUAAUCAUAAUAUGAGACUUACAAUUUUCAUGCAUUCUCUGAUUUGGAAGAGGGUUUCAACCAGGGUUGUUAAUGGCGGAUAGCAUAGCGUAGCGGCAACCCGAAAAAUGCUAUUUCGAGCGCUAUAGCGGUGAAUAGUGGAGUAGCGGUGAAC
This 318-nucleotide long non-coding RNA is filed under the name Lotus japonicus. RNAcentral's name for it is "long non-coding RNA (LJAP_LNC000536)". The record is from RNAcentral. Lineage: Eukaryota; Viridiplantae; Streptophyta; Magnoliopsida; Fabales; Fabaceae.